Molecule: ribosomal RNA, 406 nt
Filed under: uncultured bacterium
Lineage: Bacteria
Description: partial 16S ribosomal RNA
Rfam family: Bacterial small subunit ribosomal RNA
Source: RNAcentral
AUUGAACGCUGGCGGCAGGCCUAACACAUGCAAGUCGAACGAGUGGCGGACGGGUGAGUAAUGUCUGGGACACUGCCUGAUGGAGGGGGAUAACUACUGGAAACGGUAGCUAAUACCGCAUACCAUCGGAUGUGCCCAGAUGGGAUUAGCUAGUAGGUGGGGUAACGGCUUACCUAGGCGACGAUCCCUAGCUGGUCUGAGAGGAUGACCAGCCACACUGGAACUGAGACACGGUCCAGACUCCUACGGGAGGCAGCAGUGGGGAAUAGUGCACAAUGGGCGCAAGCCUGAUGCAGCAAUGCCGCGUGUAUGAAGAAGGCCUUCGGGUUGUAAAGUACUUUCAGCGGGGAGGCGUUACCCGCAGAAGAAGCACCGGCUAACUCCGUGCCAGCAGCCGCGGUAAUAC